Agelaius phoeniceus (red-winged blackbird) is the source of this 176-nucleotide non-coding RNA. Lineage: Eukaryota; Metazoa; Chordata; Aves; Passeriformes; Icteridae. The record is from RefSeq and is a predicted model, not a curated record.
CCCCGCCGCCUUCCCCCGCCGCUCAGGCCGAAGCUCCCCCGGCUCCUGCUGCAUCGCCGCCUCCAGGAGCCGCGGGAUUUCCCAUUCCCCAACCUUGGCCCGAUGGAAGGGGAGGCCGUGAGGAAGACGAAGAUGGCCCGGGAGCCUCAGGCAGACCAGGCGCUGAGGAUGGAGAG